RNAcentral lists this long non-coding RNA (7475 nucleotides) under Mytilus galloprovincialis (Mediterranean mussel). Lineage: Eukaryota; Metazoa; Mollusca; Bivalvia; Mytilida; Mytilidae. The record is from RNAcentral.
UUUUUACCAGUGACCAAUGGCAACAAAUACAUCAUUGUGUGCGAUAUGUGAUCUACGACAUCUUACCACAUCGUCCACACACUGGUGUCCAGAAUGUGAAGAAGCACUUUGCGUUGACUGUAAAGAACAUCACAUUCUGUCGAAAGCGUCCCGGGGUCACCAGGUCAUCACUAUAUCAGACUACAAUAGUUUACCUCCGUUCAUCGCUAGCAUCAACAUAUUUUGUACUCAUCACAAUGAGAAGUACACACAAUACUGUGUAAAGCACGAGGUUCCUAUUUGUUACAAAUGUAUAAAAGAACAUGGCAACUGUGGAGGACUGACACUUCUAGAGGACCUUGCUAUCGAUGUUAAAUCAUCUGAGGUGUUCCUAGACAUGGAACAAAGCUUAAAAGAUAUAAUGUUUAAUGUCAAUCGAAUCCGAGAGCACAGGGAGUCCAAUAUUCAAACAAUUAAGGAUAAAAAGAAGCAAAUCAUCGACGCCAUAAGUUGCCUGAAAGAACAGAUAAACGUGCACCUUGAUAAACUGCAAGACAAUUUUGUGAUAGAACUUGACAAAGUAGAAGCGGAAUGUUGCGAAAAGAUCCAGUUAAUCGUGUCCUCUCUCAAUGCCCAAGACAAAGAGAUAGUUCAGUGCAAAGCAGAGAUUGAAAAAAUUAAAAGAUUUGCGUCAGAUGUACAAGCAUUCCUUGGAAUGAGAGAUAUUCAGAACAUUAUAACAACAAACGAGAACUGCAUUCAGUCCAUUGUUGAAAAUAAGAAUGUAGAAAAAAUCGACCUGGAAUAUUCUAUCAAUGCAAAGAUACAGGAAUGUAUAACACACGUCAAGAAGUUCGGUUCCAUUAUGAUUGAAAGAUCCUCGUCUGCAACAUUCGAAUUAGCCAGGAAGAAAGACAGACAAGCUCAAAUAUUGGUAACAGACGGAAACCAAUCUGUAAACAAUAUAACAUUGAGUUUUAAGCAGAAACUAAAAACUGCCUGUGUUGAAACGACGGGAUGUUUCGUGACAGAAAAAUGUCGAUAUCUUUUUACGGAUUAUAAAUGCCAUGGAGAGAAAAUUGUGGCAGUUAACUCAAAUGGCAAGACUGGAUAUACCAUUGAAUUGUUGCAUAGUGCCUUCGAUUUAGCAUGUAUAGACGACAACACAGUAGCUGUUAGUACGGGAUAUUCGUAUGGUAAGACUGGUGUUAUGAUUAUUGAUUUGAUCACUCGAACAGUGAAAAGGUUUGUUCAAUUACCUAGUGCAACUUUUGGAAUCACUUUCGAUGGUGAAUCAUUGUUUUGCUGCAAUAACAGAAAUGGCAUAUGUAAGAUAUCAUGUACAGACUUUAGCUGUACCAAUAUUCCUAACACUUUCGUUCCUGAAAAAUCGUACAUUACGACGCAAGGUGAGAUGAUUGUCUAUACAGUGCCUUCUAAAAAUACAGUAUCUUGUUUUCAAAGGAAAAAACUAUUUUGGCAGUUCAAAAAUGAAAGUGUUUUGAAGAAGCCAGGAGGAAUAACUAUAGACGAUAAAGGGAAUGUUUUCGUCGUCGGAAUACAUUCAAAAAACAUUCUUGUGAUUUCUCCUGAUGGAAAGCAAUAUAAACAAAUACAAACAGAUAUCACUAAACCGAUAACAAUAUUUUUUGACAAAAUAAAGAAGCAGAUAUUAGUCGCAAACGAAGAUACUUUCGCUUAUCUUUAUGACAUUUUAUAUUGUUAAAUUUAGUUAUUUCUCCAUACCUGGAGUUCAUUAACAACCAAUGAUUAGGAUGAAGCACAAAAGGAAUUGACCUAUUUUUAUUUUCCAGUUGCAUUCUUUUUAAAGUAGACUUUCGAAUUUUGAUAACACUCUGAUGUCUAAGCAACAUCAUGAACUGAGUUAGUAUUAAGAAAAAGUUAUGGGAAAAAUCAUAUUCAACACCACUGAGAACAAUUGCCUGAUCCAUGGGACCUUUAUAUUUGUAAAUGUGUUAAAUUUUGAUUCAAUUAAAACAUCUUUACAAUUUCAUCAUAGAUUCCUUAUUUAGUAUUUACUUAGUUUUACACGUAUCACUAAAUAUUGAUUUGGUACAGUUUAUAUCAAUGUAUGAGACCUCUGUUCUCUUAUCAGUGUUAUCAUUCAUUUAUCAAAUCUUCACCCAAUAAAUUAGACAUUCGAUUUCAUUUUGAUGUUAGUCGAAGCUACGAUUCGGAAACGAUAUCUUUCUCGAAUAGUAUUCUGGGUUGUUUACAAUAUUUGCUAACUUACGUUUAAUAUAUAUAGGAUUUUAAGCAGAUUGGUAAGCUUUCACAGAUGAGUAAAUUUGAAAACAUAAAAUUCGAUGAACAAGAAAAUGAGGAGAUUAAAAGAACUGUGUGAUUUAACAUUUGUACAUCUUCAUCUCAUUAAUUUUUUUUAUUCAAAAUGUGUUGAACAUAUGAAUAUGUAUGGAUGCGCAAUUCAUUAAGACUGGCGGUAUUUGUUACUUUCUCCUCAAUUCCUCUACUAAUAUCGUAAAAAUGGACAUGGUUGAUUGCUCGUACAGAAGCUGAGACAUUUUCACAAGUGCCGCUUAAGUUUUGGCGUAUGAAGGUAUAUUUAGUUUCUAAAUCAAGCAUACCCCAAAAAGGUUCUGGUGGCCUUGAUUCGCGAGGUAUAAAAAUCCUAUUUUUCACACGUUCAAUCCUUUGAAAAUUUAAUCUUUUGUAUUCAUUAAAUAACUCUAUAGUUUUUACACUUUUAUUCUAUGGUCCACAGCUCUGUUAGUCAGCACAAAGAGUUAAGUCCAGUCAUUUGUUAUAUAUUCAUGCAUGUCCAAUAUCACUUGAUGGAUAGUGUCUAUUUACGUACAGUUUUUCGAUAUUUUUAAUUUGAGGCGCAAUUGGGAUACUGACCAAUAUACUUUAUGUUUGAAAGUCAGAAGGUGAUCUUCAAUAGAAAUAACUGACUGGUUUAAAUGCGUCAACAAUGAUAUCAAAUAAGUGAUAUGAUAAAUUUUCAUAAACAUGAUCUACAAGUAAAGUGAAGGGAACAACAUAAAUUAAAAUUUGAAUUGUAAUUACCAAAAGUGAAGUGAACAACAAACAUUAUUGCACUGCCAACACCAAACUAGACCAUAGCCUAGACAAGCGGGGAUCAUUAUUUUAAGUACAGUUACAGUUAAACUUCUCAUUUAGUUGUCUAUGAUUUCCAAAUAUGUGUUCAAGGUUUUAUUGCAGAGAAGCAGUUGCUUAACCAUAAGCUGUAAAAAGGUGGGUUUUUUUAAAGAUAAACAACGAGAAAUAAUAGACUAAUUUUAUUGGGUUAUUUUGGUUGUAGUUUAGUUUUGGUUAAUUAGCCGUCUCCAAUAAAAAUAUCAAAACGAAACACACGAAAAUGAAGCAAACACUUAAAAUUGAAACGUUAGACUCGCGUUAUAGUACGACAGUAUCGUAAUGUUAAUUUUGGAGGAAAAUAUUUUAUAUUAUUACAUCCUCCAUAUAUUUCCACAUAGCCAAAUCUGCAAAUAUAUACGUAAGUUAAGGUAGCACUACAGUCUAACAGUGUUUUUUUAAGAUCUUUUUUUUAUCACAUAAUUUUAAAGUAAGUAUUAUUCUGCAGAGUUUGUAAAAACCCCAAAGUCAUUAUCAUAUCACAACAGGGUGAAAAUUGAUAAUGAACUUAUGUAAAUAAAGGCACAUGGUAAUCAAUCUAAAUAUAUAGGCAUUUAGGAGGGGCUAAUAUGUCAAUCAUCUGUUGAUGCCAGUGUCCAGCUGUUAAUCACUGACCACAAGAUAAAUAUUGUGAUCUUAUCUCAUUAUAUCAUGUGUAUUGCAACAAAAGUAGUUCAUAUAACUUUGAAGUAAACAGAGAAAAGGGAAAGUUAUUGAAAAGGAGAAAAUCUAAAGGGGGAAAAAUCUUACCAAAAUGAACAAAACUAUAUACAUGUAUAUAAGGAUAAGAGUGUGAAAGUAUUUUCGAGAGCCUCUGGCAAACUUUAAACUUUUAAGGUUCUUACUAAAUACAAGAAGAAUAUGUCUCUGAAUUUGUCUUCUGUUAUGAGUUUCAGGCACUCAAGAAUCAUGUGAGGCAGUCUAUUUUUAGCAAGGGGAUGGUCUUGAUCUUUUUUGGAACAUGUCUUUGAUUGAACAAUUUUAAUGUUCUAGCUAAUUUAAUAGUAUAUUUCUUAUUAAAAUACAAAUGAAAUCAUUCUUUAUAGUGAAUAUAAUGAUGUUAAGAAUUGUUUAUAUGCAGCUGGUCAUUUCUGUUAUUCUCUUAUCUAAGACUGACUGGAUAGAGGCGGAGCUUUGUCUAUAUAUAAUUACUACAUCACAGAUGUUGGUCAAAUCUGUGACGUCAAACUCCCGCCAAAUGCUAAGUUAGUGUUGGUCAGUGCACAUAUAAUUCAAAAUUUACAGUAUUAGAGCAUCAAAUACACAAAGUGUGUUGUUAUAAUGAUAACAUAAUGGUGUCAGAACACUCCUGGUGUGUUCUCAGUGGAACUUUUGUAUUAAUGAUGCAUUUAUAGGGGUUCUAAGGGGGAAAUUCAGUUUUUAGGUCAUUUCUCUGAACAAUUUUUCAUGAGACUUGUUAGCAAAAAAUGAACAUAGAAACUUCAUUGAUACCCCUUAUGGUUUGACUUUGAUAUAUGUGAUUAAAGGGAGUAUUUUCUACAAUACCAUGUCCCAGUUUUUAGAUAAUUUGUUUCUAAAUGAAUUUAUAGUUGUCCAAAGAUGAAAGGUGAACUGAGGUUUGGUUCCCAGCAGUUAAAUCAAUAUAUCUUCUUACUGGAGGCAUAUAUCAAAAAUCUGAGACACGGUUUUGUUUAUAGUCUAGGGUUGAUUAAGGUGAUGGAAACUAAUUUUUACUAUCAUUUGACCUGAAUGUGUCAUUUUCAUCCAAGUUGGAAGACCACUUUUUUGGCAAUUACGGAGCUAUAAUUUGAGAUUAAUUAUACCAAAAAAUAAUUUAUCUACAGAUUAAGAAGAAUUAAUAUUUCACCUUUAUAAUGAGCUAAAGAUGUUAAAAAUUGAGCAGUUUUGGAGAAAUUAAUCUUUAAAGACUGUUGUUUGGAGUCAGAAAAUUCUGACUGUAGUGCUACCUUAAAUGAUAAGUAUGAAAACAUAUUAACUAUAACAUUGUUGUUCGGUGUGAGCCAAGGCUCCGUGUUGAAGGCCGUACUUUAACCUAUAAUGGUUUACUUUUUAAAAUUAUUAUUUGGAUGGAGAGUUGUCUCAUUGGCACUCACACCACAUCCUCCUAUAUCUAACAACUGUUGUACAGUCAUUGACUUAUGUAGCAAAUGGUGGAUUAAACUUGGUUUAAUUACCAUUGACUGCAGUAGAGAUGAUCUAAAUUUAUUUCAUAUGAUAUUUGUACAAAACAAAUAGCGUUUUUAAAAAGGAAUCUUAUUUUAAGUUUUAUGUUUCAAACAUUCUUUUAACUUUGAACCACAGUAUACGGAUUAUUUUUAUUAGAUAUGAAUAUUUAAAUAUAAAAAAAGGUUUAUAAAGUCUCUACGGAACUAUGACAUGUCUAGGUUAUAUGUAAGUUACACUAAAUCAAAUUUACAAAUUGGAAAAAAAACAUUGAAACUAUAAAUACAAAAGAAUUAUGUCAAAUCAAUCUGAAUAAUGUCUCAGUUAGAUAAACUUAAGCUAAAAUAAACUACUUCAGUCUAUAAAAAAAAAGAAUACUACUAAUCAAAAUAGCACAGGAAAAGAGCGAUAACUCAUUUUGAUUUUCAGGCAUCAUUAUGCAUGUUAUGUAAACAACGCCUCGAUAACAACAUACUUCCGUGUUGCAUGUUAGAGGUUUGUUUCUUUUUUAUUUACAUUUCACAUCUUUGAUGAGAUUAUUGAAACAAACCUUUUGAUUAUUAUUAGUGAUCUCAAAUAGGUCAUAAAACACAAAGUCAAAUCCUUGUCUUUCUGAUUUCUAACUUAAAUACCCUUUUAUCCAUAUAAGAAAUAUAAAUAUAACGUGUCAUGCAAAAUGCUAGCAUUCUCACAGUCUUUCUGCUUUGGGAUAACUUUCUGUCACUGAUGGUUCUUGUUUUGAAACGAUAUACUAUUGUUUUCUCUGUGUUGUCAGUAUUUGAGUACUUUGUCAUUUAUUUAUAGUUUUACUUUACAUUGUCAAAUGUCCUGAAUCGGCAUGAAAUAUCUGUCACUGAAUAUUAAGGAAACAGACAUGCAGAUAAAUUAUGAAAAAAAUUACCGAAGACAAAAAAAAGGAAUAACCAAGUUGGACAGUACAGUAGACAACAUCACAAUUGCGUACUUAUCAGUCGACAGAAGCUUACCACAGAUUUAUUGUCAGGUUUCUCGGAUUGGUAUAGGCUAUUCUAGACACACAAAAUGCAUGGCAAAAACAAGAAAUGUACGUGUGUGACUAUCCCUAUCACAUGUCUUUGUAAUCUGAAGAGCAAAGAUUAAUGUUCUGUCUUACUAUUUGGCAAACCAAAACACUAUAAUAGAUAGGCUGAAGUACCAAAUGUUAAGAACAAUGACCUGUUUCAAAAUAUUUACAAAAAGGAGUAGGUUCGAUAAGGUCCCAAAAUGACCCCUGAUUAAGCGUAAAUUUCAAUUUAGGAUUUAUUGACCAAUAUCACAAGAAAUUAACGCUAAUACAGGGACUAGAUAGGAAAUAACCAAUUGUGUUGAAAAUUAAUGUUCCUGCGUUUUAUGUUGACGUCACAAGUUGUACUCAUAUUGAUUUAACAUGAAAAAAUCAAUAAAAAGGGCUAAAUUUCCAUAGAUUAUUGGACAGGAAACAGAGCGCAGGUCUCGUUUAAGUUACAUGCUACUAAAUAUUUGUCUAAAAAUAGACGAAAAAAAUGACGCUUUAUACAUUUCUUGCAUCCGAAGCGCUUGCAGUAUUAACUGUCAUCAACAACACCCAAAGGGGAUCAUAUGUAUAAGAACCGACCGAAAUUGUGAAAAGCUACAUAUUCAAAACUAUCCUUAAAAAAAAUGUCAAUCUAUCAAACGACAAUUUUGCCUGAAGGAGUCGAACUCGAACAGUCUGAUAUCAAGAACGAAAGAAACAUUGUGUUGAUACAUUCGUUAUUUGCUAUGUUUAUUUUCAUUUUAACUAGUUAUUUUAAAUAUAUAUGCAUACAAUGCUAAAGACAAACAUAUAAAAUAUAAAUAUUUCAAAUAUCGAAUAAAAGUUUCGACUUAUAAAAUUGCUGAGUGGUCAGCAAAACAUUUGAAAGACAUUUUAUGAACAUGUUACCCUAAAAAACAUCGCUUUAUAUUUAAGACUUUUGAAUAAUAACAGGACACACAACAAAAAAAUGAGCAUAUUAUUUUUUAUAUUUUUUACCAGUGACCAAUGUCUACAAAUACAUCAUUGUGUGCUAUAUGUAAUCUACGACAUCUUACCACAUCGUCCACACACUGGUGUUCAGAAUGUGAGGAAUCACUUUGCGUUGACUGUAAAGAACAUCACAUUCUGUCGAAAGCUUCCCGGGGUCACCAGGUCAUCACUAUAUCAGAAUACAAUAGUUUACCUCCGUUCAUCGCCA